UACGUAGGGGGCUAGCGUUGCUCGGAAUCACUGGGCGUAAAGCGCACGUAGGCGGACUCUUAAGUCGGUGGUGAAAUCCUGGAGCUCAACUCCAGAACUGCCUUCGAUACUGAGAGUCUCGAGUCCGGGAGAGGUGAGUGGAACUGCGAGUGUAGAGGUGAAAUUCGUAGAUAUUCGCAAGAACACCAGUGGCGAAGGCGGCUCACUGGCCCGGUACUGACGCUGAGGUGCGAAAGCGUGGGGAGCAAACAGG
Molecule: ribosomal RNA, 253 nt
Filed under: uncultured bacterium
Lineage: Bacteria
Description: partial 16S ribosomal RNA
Rfam family: Bacterial small subunit ribosomal RNA
Source: RNAcentral